ACCAGACUCCUACGGGAGGCAGCAGUGGGGGAUAUUGCACAAUGGGGGGAACCCUGAUGCAGCGACGCCGCGUGGGUGAAGAAGUCAUUCGUGACGUAAAGCCCUAUCGGCAGGGAAGAAAAGCGAACAGGUUCGCCUGGACGGUACCUGACUAAGAAGCCCCCGCUAACUACGUGCCAGCAGCCGCGGGAAUACGUAGGGGGCAAGCGUUAUCCGGAUUCACUGGGUGUAAAGGGAGCGUAGACGGCGGCGCAAGUCUGGAGUGAAAGCCCGGGGCCCAACCCCGGGACUGCUCUGGAAACUGCGGCGCUGGAGUACGGGAGGGGCAGGCGGAAUUCCUGGUGUAGCGGUGAAAUGCGUAGAUAUCAGGAGGAACACCGGCGGCGAAGGCGGCCUGCUGGACCGUGACUGACGUUGAGGCUCGAGAGCGUGGGGAGCAAACAGGAUGAGAUACCCCGGUACC
RNAcentral lists this ribosomal RNA (463 nucleotides) under uncultured bacterium. RNAcentral describes it as "partial 16S ribosomal RNA". It matches the Rfam family "Bacterial small subunit ribosomal RNA", at positions 330 to 794 of the family's 1533-position model. The record is from RNAcentral.